RNAcentral lists this ribosomal RNA (253 nucleotides) under uncultured bacterium. RNAcentral describes it as "partial 16S ribosomal RNA". It matches the Rfam family "Bacterial small subunit ribosomal RNA", at positions 524 to 776 of the family's 1533-position model. The record is from RNAcentral.
UACAGAGGGGGCAAGCGUUGUUCGGAAUUACUGGGCGUAAAGGGCGCGUAGGCGGCCCGCUAAGUCGAACGUGAAAUCCCCGGGCUCAACCCGGGAACUGCGUCCGAUACUGGCAGGCUUGAAUCCGGGAGAGGGAUGCGGAAUUCCAGGUGUAGCGGUGAAAUGCGUAGAUAUGUGGAGGAAUACCGAUGGCGAAGGCAGCCCCCUGGGAUAACACUGACGCUCAUGCACGAAAGCGUGGGGAGCAAACAGG